GCUCGGAUCCAGACUUAGGUAUUUGAGGAGAAAUAUCUGAGCGUACUAUAAAAAAAACUUAUUUAAGUUAUUGUAUCUAAAAGGUAUUUGAUCCGUCACUCCAUAUAUAUAUAAGUUAAACAACACCCGCACGGGUGUCCGGGUCAAAAUCUAAUUAUUUAUUAAAGAAACUGUUUACACUAUAAAUAUAGACAUAUAAUAUUCAUAAAACACGUUAUUAAAACUAUUGAACACAAGAACACACUUUGAGUCUUCUUCUCAUUUUAAUAUUUCUAAGAUUAGAACCGUAUAGUUUCAGUGGUUUUAAACUCAACUUGCUGGGGUGAGAUUAAUUCUGCUACGGACAUAUGCAGAAGAAUCUUAAGAAGAUUAAAAAAGAAUAGGUUCUGAGAAACUAUGUUAUGAAGUUUUUUACAAAAAAAAAAGAAUAUAUGUUAUGAAGUCUGAGAAGUUUUUGAUUUGUUGGGUUUUUUAUAUAUCAAUUUCUAGGGUUUUGAAUAUUUUAGUUUUAUGUUGAAUCAUUUGGAUAAUCAAUAAAAUGGUGUUAACAUUACUUCGCUAUAACAGGAAGCAGCAUCAUGAUAGAUUGUAUAACUUGGCUUCACAUAUGGUCACGUAAAAGGCUAACAAAAAUUAAACAAAUUGAAAUAUAAAUAUUCAAUAGUAAUAUGCUGGAGAU
This 679-nucleotide long non-coding RNA is filed under the name Brassica napus (rape). RNAcentral's name for it is "long non-coding RNA (BNAP_LNC023355)". Lineage: Eukaryota; Viridiplantae; Streptophyta; Magnoliopsida; Brassicales; Brassicaceae. The record is from RNAcentral.